Molecule: ribosomal RNA, 495 nt
Filed under: uncultured bacterium
Lineage: Bacteria
Description: partial 16S ribosomal RNA
Rfam family: Bacterial small subunit ribosomal RNA
Source: RNAcentral
GACGAACGCUGGCGGCGUGCCUAAUACAUGCAAGUCGAACGCUGAAGGAGGAGCUUGCUCUUCUGGAUGAGUUGCGAACGGGUGAGUAACGCGUAGGUAACCUGCCUGGUAGCGGGGGAUAACUAUUGGAAACGAUAGCUAAUACCGCAUAAUAGUAGAUGUUGCAUGAUAUUUACUUAAAAGGUGCAAUUGCACCACUACCAGAUGGACCUGCGUUGUAUUAGCUAGUUGGUGGGGUAACGGCUCACCAAGGCGACGAUACAUAGCCGACCUGAGAGGGUGAUCGGCCACACUGGGACUGAGACACGGCCCAGACUCCUACGGGAGGCAGCAGUAGGGAAUCUUCGGCAAUGGACGAAAGUCUGACCGAGCAACGCCGCGUGAGUGAAGAAGGUUGUCGGAUCGUAAAGCUCUGUUGUAAGAGAAGAACGAGUGUGAGAGUGGAAAGUUCACACUGUGACGGUAGCUGACCAGAAAGGGACGGCUAACUACGUG